UGGGGAAUUUUGGGACAAUGGGCGAAAGCCUGAUCCAGCAAUGCCGCGUGUGUGAAGAAGGCCUUCGGGUUGUAAAGCACUUUUGUCCGGAAAGAAAUCCUUGGCUCUAAUACAGUCGGGGGAUGACGGUACCGGAAGAAUAAGCACCGGCUAACUACGUGCCAGCAGCCGCGGUAAUACGUAGGGUGCAAGCGUUAAUCGGAAUUACUGGGCGUAAAGCGUGCGCAGGCGGUUUGCUAAGACCGAUGUGAAAUCCCCGGGCUCAACCUGGGACUGCAUUGGUGACUGGCAGGCUAGAGUAUGGCAGAGGGGGGUGAGAAUUCCACGUGUAGCAGUGAAAUGCGUAGAGAUGUGGAGGAAUACCGAUGGCGAAGGCAGCCCCCUGGCAAGUCACUGACGCUCAUGCACGAAA
This 412-nucleotide ribosomal RNA is filed under the name uncultured bacterium. Its description in RNAcentral is "partial 16S ribosomal RNA". It matches the Rfam family "Bacterial small subunit ribosomal RNA", at positions 355 to 758 of the family's 1533-position model. The record is from RNAcentral.